Hylaeus volcanicus is the source of this 3420-nucleotide long non-coding RNA. RefSeq lists it as uncharacterized. The record is from RefSeq and is a predicted model, not a curated record. NCBI's taxonomy places the organism in Eukaryota, Metazoa, Arthropoda, Insecta, Hymenoptera, Colletidae. The transcript is spliced from 7 exons.
GGUGUUUCGAGGAUUACCGAUUGAUUGAAUUUUGGGGUUGUUAAAGAAAGUCUUUCGAGGGGAGAUGAUCGCGAUGAGCGGCUGCAUUUAUUCAUACGUCCCCGACAACUGGACGCGUCGACAGGAGAAAAUAUCGGAUCGAAGAAUGCCCGGUUAAGUAAGAAGACAUGGAAGAAGACCAAGCCACGGAACGCGGAAAAUGGGAGGAAGGGAACAGGAGUAACAAAUCGUAAUGACAGGGGGUGGGGCUUUUUCCAGCCGUGCACGAGGAUACGCUCACUGGGAAAAUCUUCCCAUGGCGGUGAGAAACGGUGAUCGGAGCCACAUCGUGUUAGCUCGUCGACUUCUCGACCGUGCUCGAUCUAUCUAAUUCCUGAUCGGUCUGGACGAACCAGAGGUUCGAUGUCCAUUACGAGGAGACGUGCCAGAAGGGAAACGCUGGUUUCCUCGAAGACGUCCUCGUUUUCACGUUUCCACGAUUUCACGGGGAGUUCAUAUUCGUCGCGAUAACGCGAGGCACGAUUACAGGGUUACACCAGAAUACUCAAUAAAAUAAAGAUUCCAAAGGGGAUCACGUCCAUUCAUCAGGAUCAAACUACUGAAAUCUCAACUACUUCAGCGAUUUUGUUAAUAUUCAGACGUCCAUCGCUGGCGAAGUAACAUGGAGACAGUUUCCAUUGAGGCUACCUUUAACGAAUACAAAGAUAAUUAAAAAGAAAGAAUUGCGGCACGGGCACUCAAUAAAUAUCCUGUUUUCGUAAAAUUAUCGACACGGCCGCCAUUAAGGACGCUGACACGAAUUACAGCGGUCACGAAUUAAGAGACGCGGGAUCACGAGUAUUCGUUGCUUGGACCCCCUCCCGUUCGUCUCGAUCUCUUUUUCCACGCUCGGCCGAGCGUUUUACUAAAUUACUCGAGGCUACUGUGUAAAAUAUGGCCGCCGCCGAUGAUAUCGUUGUACCCGCCGCCCGAGACGCGCCAAUGGGACUCGUUUAAUUACACGAUAAAUUUUCAUCCGGGCAAACACCUGUCCACAGUUUAUUAAAAAGUAAUUGGUCGAUGUGUAUCGUCUCUCGCCGGCGCGUUUGAUAAAUAAAAUUUACUUUGCCGAUUAAAAUUCGUGACUUUAUGGGACGCCUGAAGAACAUCCAGAGUAAUUAAUGGUUGCACUUGAUUAGUAUAAGUAUAAUGCUAGCCGCGUAUACCGUUGUUUUCCCGUAGCGUUGGAGUAAUUUAUUUUGAAAGUUUAUCGACUGAUAACGGGUGUGGCCAGACGAGCGAUUUAUUUAUUUGUGGAGAGGGAUGAACUUCGUACAGAUGGGAAGGAAUUAAAUGCUUAGGCUAAGAUUUUCUACCCAAGUCCUUUCCAGUGUCGAUUGCGCCCCCCAAAUGCUAUACUUUCAAACCGAAUUUUCGCUCAGAAGCAAAUGCGAGAUCGAUUGAACAGAUACCAGUGGAAUCUGGGACUCGAAGGCUGGUAUUCGAAAAGUGCCGGCUGGAAGAGCCGAGUCGUAAAAUCGUAGAGGAACGUCGCCACCAUUCGGCGCGCCGUUAAAUUACAGAGGACGCGAACAAUGUCUGAAUCGCUUCUGUCAUCGUCGUUUACUCGUCGAAUCGUCGCGCAGUGCCGCGAGAACUAUUUCGCGCGGCGAUCACGCAAAUGGCCAUUGGUCGGCACGAGUUACGAUCCUGCGGAACAAUCUUCGAUUGCGUUUGAAGACCAGACGGUUCGUCGUGGACAAAUAACGCAGUUCGCGGAUUGUGCUUGGAAGUUUGCUGCGGAUUGCGCUGUUUCGAAUGGCUCGAUUACUUCUAAUUGUCAGACUUUAGUGGACGAUUUGAACGAGUGAGGAAGAAGACGAAGAAGAAGAAGAAGAAGACUAUUGUUGCGUAGGAGGUAUACUGAUUUGAAAUCAAUAUUUUUGUCCUAUUUGUAAGAUUGUUUUUUUUAUGUAAUUUACUAGUUAUUGUUUUACCAAACACUUAUGUACGUUAUCAUCGUUUUUGAACCUGAGAGGAUGCUACCGUUUUUAGCCAAGAAGGUAGCUAGACAGAAAUGUGAAUUUAAUAAUGAAUACGAAAAUAUGCUACAUAAUUAAAUAGAAAUAAAUAAAGGCAACUAUUAAUUUAAUGUACAAUGAUGAAUAUACUAAACGAUUUUCCGCCAAGAACGUAGAACUAAAUGAAAGUAAAAACAUGCUACAUAAUGAAAGUGCAAAUAAAGGGAACCAAGUACUAAUUUAACGUACAAUUAUGAAUAUGCUAAAAGAUUUUUAGCGAAGAAUGCAGCUAAAUAAAAAUAUGAAGUAAAUAAUAAAAAUAAAUGAAAGGAGCUACUUAAUUUAAUGUAUAAUGAUGAAUACACUAAACGACUUUCCGCCAAGAACGUAGAACUAAAUGAAAGUAAAAACAUGCUACAUAAUGAAAGUGCAAAUAAAGGGAACCAAGUACUAAUUUAACGUACAAUUAUGAAUAUGCUAAAAGAUUUUCAGCGAAAAAUGCAGCUAAAUAAAAAUAUGAGUUAAAUAAUAAAAAUGAAAUCAUAUCACAUAGUGAAACUACAAAUAAAUGAAAGCAACCACCAAUUUAAUUUACAGUGAUGAAUAUAAAUAAAGGUCACAGAAAAAUCCUCCGCGUGAAGGGUAACCAGAAGAGGAUCGGCAAGAAUUAACCCCCAUCGAACCGAUUGGUCGUAAAUCCUGAACAUUAUUCUGAAAAACGGUGGAAUAAAGUUUCGCUGGUCGUUCGAUAGGCGAACCACGGCUAGUUCUCGAACAGGUCUCGGCGAUCGUUUGACCAGUUAACCAUAAACAAGUUGCUUCGCGGGAAAUCGGUGAAACGCAUGCUCGAGGGAGGCUCUCGCACGUGUCUCGGCGCUAAUAGGAAAGCGAUUUAUGCUCGCGAGCCUUUUAUUUAUUAUUCCAUCGACGCUGCCGUAUUUAUUAUUACACAUCCACGGAUUCCCGAUGCUUUUCGCGCUGGUUUGCGCCGCGGGUGUGUCCAUCGAUGAUAAGUUAAUUAGCGCCAGGGUGUCCCGCCUAGCGAUUAAUCUAAAACGCGCCUGGUUCGCGCAAAUUAGAUGUCCGUGCUUAGAACGAUCUUCCAAUGGGGUCAGCGGUUAGUCCGAAUGGUGCUUCUGUUAUUUCAUGCAUUCCCAUUUCCUUCUCGCGGGUCAUUUAACCUCUUCGCAUUCAUCCAGGGCUGGUUAAGGUUUAUAAGUGCAAUAACUAUAGCCAAAUAGUUUGUCACUUUAAAUAAAGUACAUGGAUACAUGGUUAAGGUUUAUCAAGACUUUUGUUUUGUCAAAAAUUGUUUACUUUAUGUUUAAUAACAUAGUGUGAGUUGUUAUUCCUCUUCCUCUUCUCAUAUAUAAUAUAUGAGAUUCAAUGAUAAUUAGAUAUGAAUUGAAAGGUAAAUUUU